AUUGAACGCUGGCGGCAGGCCUAACACAUGCAAGUCGAGCGAGCGGCGCACGGGUGAGUAAUGUAUGGGGACUGCCCGAUAGAGGGGGAUAACUACUGGAAACGGUAGCUAAUACCCCAUACUAUCGGAUAACCCAUAUGUGAUUAGCUAGUAGGUGAGGUAAUGGCUCACCGAGGCGACGAUCCCUAGCUGUUCUGAGAGGAUGAUCAGCAAAACGGGAAAUGAGACACGGCCCAGACUCCUACGGAGGCAGCAGGGGGGAAUAUUGCACAAGGGGCGCAAGCCUGAUGCAGCCAGGCCGCGUGUAUGAAGAAGGCCUUAGGGUUGUAAAGUACUUUCAGUCGGGAGGCGUUACCGACAGAAGAAGCACCGGCUAACUCCGUGCCAGCAGCCGCGGUAAUUC
This 403-nucleotide ribosomal RNA is filed under the name uncultured bacterium. RNAcentral describes it as "partial 16S ribosomal RNA". It matches the Rfam family "Bacterial small subunit ribosomal RNA", at positions 30 to 526 of the family's 1533-position model. The record is from RNAcentral.